UCCUGGCCCUGCUUGCAGGGCCCCCCAGGCUGCUGGCCCCGGGGGGUCCGCUCCCCCUCCAGCCCUGGGUGGGUUAUCGUUUCUCAGCCUCUUGAAGGCUCAGAUUGUUGCACAAACGGCUAGUUUCGUGCCCCUGGAGGCUUGUCCAAUCCACCCCAGGAGAGAGUCACACACAGGCUAGGUCCAAUUUCAGAUUUAUUUGUUUGCAAACAGACCGACCCAGGAGUUGUGCCACUCGGAUCAAGGGUUGACCACAAACUGGGUCUGAAACGUCUUUUUAUAGCCAAGGUAAACAAUAGAUUUCAACGUAUCGUGCAAUUAUUGGCAGACUUAGCAUUACGUCUUGCAUCGUAUGUCUAGCAGUUACAUGUUCUAUGAUGGUUUACAUACAUGUCUCAUUUACAUCUUAAAUCCCCUCCCAGGGGCAGUUCUUAAGCCCCUCGCGGUCAUCCUUCGGUCAGGGUCUGGUCUCUCCACCUCAGCAUCUUCCCUGCCCCUCUUCUCUUAUCUCUCGUAAGGAGUUAUUUAUUGCAUCUGUUCCUGGCUCUGUCUGUAGAAGUCUUUGUGCAUACUCGUAAAUCUAUCAUUAGCAUAUAUGCCUUAGCAAAAGCAAUUAUGAAAAUACGUAGAAGCAAUUAUAAAAGCAGGAAAAUAUAGAUUAUGCUAUAUUUUUACCACAAGAUCAGUUUGGCGGUCAGGCGCAGGUCCGGCCACUGCCUGGUCGGGCCUCGGGAGGCCAAGCGCUGGGAGGAGAGCAGGGAUGGCGACGGCGAGGGCGAUGAUGGAGGUGACGGUGGCAAUGGAGUUGGUGGAGCAGACGGGAGCGGAGCGGAGGCAAAGAGAGCAAGAUCCAGGCAAGAGUGGGCAGAGAAGUCGGGAGACGGGAGGAGGUGAGCGGAGCAGAGACGGAGAUAACCCCUUGUCAAAAGAAGAGACAAUGAUUUACACUAUUGAGAAUGCUUGAAGCAGCUGAACUGAGGGUAUAAAAGUCUGUAUAUAAAAAAAAAAAAAAGUGUGCUUGCUUCAAGAAGAAAGAAAGAAGAAAAACUCCUGCGCUGACACCAUCCUCUGUUGAUGUGUUCUUCCAGCGUCCCAAGAACAUCUCCCUUCAAGGACUGUGCCUGUCAGCUUUGCAGCCUGAGUACCUUGGACUGGUGAGAUACCAGUGCUCGCUCUCUCUCUUUUCUCUCUAGGCAUAAACUUCUGAACCUGAAGUGUCAUAGUUAAGCUUGAGCUAAGUUUCCCCAAAUACUUAGUGAAACCAGGGUAGUACUGUAAUUGUUUGUGUGUGUUUUUCUUUUGCAUAUCUAUUACUACUAGUACCAUUAUAUAUUUCAUAUGCUUAGCAAUAAAUAACUUUUAUAGUCAAA
Alligator mississippiensis (American alligator) is the source of this 1370-nucleotide long non-coding RNA. RefSeq lists it as uncharacterized. The record is from RefSeq and is a predicted model, not a curated record. NCBI's taxonomy places the organism in Eukaryota, Metazoa, Chordata, Crocodylia, Alligatoridae. The transcript has 2 exons.